RNAcentral lists this ribosomal RNA (450 nucleotides) under uncultured bacterium. RNAcentral describes it as "partial 16S ribosomal RNA". It matches the Rfam family "Bacterial small subunit ribosomal RNA", at positions 354 to 796 of the family's 1533-position model. The record is from RNAcentral.
GUGGGGAAUAUUGGACAAUGGGCGCAAGCCUGAUCCAGCCAUGCCGCGUGUGUGAAGAAGGCCUUCGGGUUGUAAAGCACUUUUGUUGGGAAAGAAAUCCUGUCGGCUAAUACCCGGCGGGGAUGACGGUACCCAAAGAAUAAGCACCGGCUAACUUCGUGCCAGCAGCCGCGGUAAUACGAAGGGUGCAAGCGUUACUCGGAAUUACUGGGCGUAAAGCGUGCGUAGGUGGUUCGUUAAGUCAGAUGUGAAAGCCCCGGGCUCAACCUGGGAAUUGCAUUUGAUACUGGCGGACUAGAGUGCGGUAGAGGAGAGUGGAAUUCCCGGUGUAGCAGUGAAAUGCGUAGAGAUCGGGAGGAACAUCAGUUGCGAAGGCGGCUCUCUGGUCUGUAACUGACGCUGAGGUUCGAAAGCGUGGGUAGCAAACAGGAUUAGAAACCCGGGUAGUCC